CUAUCUUGAAACAGGAAAUAAACAUCCUGUUGUGAGAAGAGAAUUGGAAUGAUGCGUGAUGCCUCUUUUGUAAUUUACUCAACUUGGUAGAAUAUAUUAUGUAGGAAAGACUUUUAGAGCAUUAAAGCAAAGAUGACCAGCCAUAAAUCAACCUCUAUGAGAGCAUGCUGAAUCCCUGUUGAAUAGCACUUAGAUCAUUCUUGUUCAGCUUGAGUGUUGGUAAUCUUUUGCCUAUAGAACUGAAGAAAAAUUAGCGAAUUUAGAAAUUAUUUACAAGUUCAACAGAUCGUUUGGGUCUGCAUUUUGUUGAUCUUCAUAUGAAUAUUUGAAUAAUUCAUACUUUUUGUCACGUACUGCUCUAUGUUUAGAAGGUGUUUCCUUAAAUGUCAGAAGUGUCUGUCUACAGAACGUACGUGGGGCAGUCUUUUGUAAAGAGGAGAUUGCCUUUUAUCGGCAUGCAGAAAAGUCUUUGAUAUCUGGGGUCUUGAGCUUACUCUGGGACUGGCUUGUGCAAUGUGGAGGUUGCUGAGAUGAGUCACUGUGUGGAAAUCCUUGUAGAUUCUGCAUACAUCUGGAUAGGCACUUACCCAUGUAUGCUCCUGGAGGGCAGAUAUUUCACCGAACCACAGGCUGGAAGGACCUCUGGAUCCAUCUGGUCCAACACCUGCUCACGCAAGGACACCCAAAGCAGGAUGCCCAGGCCCAUGUCUAGGUGGCUUCUGAGGAUCUCCUUUUCCUUUCUCCUGUUUAUAGUGUAUUUAUAUGUUAAAUUGGAAAGACAUUUCUGACACCCACAUGUUCAGCCACUGAAAGUGAGCCCUUGUGGUUCUUAAAAGAAACUGCUUCC
This 847-nucleotide long non-coding RNA is filed under the name Gallus gallus (chicken). Its description in RNAcentral is "lncRNA (ENSGALG00010004680.1)". Lineage: Eukaryota; Metazoa; Chordata; Aves; Galliformes; Phasianidae. The record is from RNAcentral.